Molecule: ribosomal RNA, 98 nt
Filed under: Bacillus halotolerans
Lineage: Bacteria; Bacillati; Bacillota; Bacilli; Caryophanales; Bacillaceae
Source: RNAcentral
GCGGUCACACCCGUUCCCAUGCCGAACACGGAAGUUAAGCUCUUCAGCGCCGAUGGUAGUCGGGGGUUUCCCCCUGUGAGAGUAGGACGCCGCCAAGC